Molecule: ribosomal RNA, 492 nt
Filed under: uncultured bacterium
Lineage: Bacteria
Description: bacterial SSU rRNA
Rfam family: Bacterial small subunit ribosomal RNA
Source: RNAcentral
AUUGAACGCUGGCGGCGUGCCUAACACAUGCAAGUCGAGCGGUAACAGGUGUAGCAAUACAUGCUGACGAGCGGCGGACGGGUGAGUAACGCUUGGGAAUCUGCCUGUUAGUGGGGGACAACCCGGGGAAACUCGGGCUAAUACCGCAUACGCACUACGGUGGAAAGCCGGGGACCGCAAGGCCUGGCGCUAACAGAUGAGCCCAAGUCGGAUUAGCUAGUUGGUAGGGUAACGGCCUACCAAGGCGACGAUCCGUAACUGGUCUGAGAGGACGACCAGUCACACCGGAACUGAGACACGGUCCGGACUCCUACGGGAGGCAGCAGUGGGGAAUAUUGGACAAUGGGCGAAAGCCUGAUCCAGCGACGCCGCGUGGGUGAAGAAGGCCUGCGGGUUGUAAAGCCCUUUCGGUGGGGAAGAAAAGCCUCGAGUUAACACCUCGGGGUCUUGACGUAACCCAUAGAAGAAGCACCGGCUAACUCUGUGCCAGCA